GUACCUGUAGCGCAACGGUUAGCGCGUUGGACUUCUAAUCCAAAGGUCGUGAGUUCGAAUACCACCUGGGAUG
Molecule: non-coding RNA, 73 nt
Organism: Trichonephila clavipes
Lineage: Eukaryota; Metazoa; Arthropoda; Arachnida; Araneae; Nephilidae
Source: the annotation of a GenBank genome assembly